AAGCAAAAGUGGUUUCAAUCCACGGACCUCUGGGUUAUGGGCCCAGCACGCUUCCACUGUGCCACUCUGCU
This 71-nucleotide transfer RNA is filed under the name Cordylochernes scorpioides. RNAcentral's name for it is "tRNA-iMet". Lineage: Eukaryota; Metazoa; Arthropoda; Arachnida; Pseudoscorpiones; Chernetidae. The record is from RNAcentral.